GACGAACGCUGGCGGCGUGCUUAACACAUGCAAGUCGAACGGAAAGGCCCUGCUUUUGUGGGGUGCUCGAGUGGCGAACGGGUGAGUAACACGUGAGUAACCUGCCCGUGACUUUGGGAUAACUUCAGGAAACUGGGGCUAAUACCGGAUAGGAGCUCCUGCUGCAGGGGGGGGGUUGGAAAGUUUCGGCGGUUGGGGCUGGACUCGCGGCUUAUCAGCUUGUUGGUGGGGUAGUGGCUUACCAAGGCUUUGACGGGUAGCCGGCCUGAGAGGGUGGCCGGCCACAUUGGGCCUGCGAUACGGCCCAGACUCCUACGGUGGGCAGUAGUGGGGAACAUUGCCCAACGGGGCGACGCCUGAUGCAACAACCCCGCGUGCGGGAUGACGGCCUUCGGGUUAUGAACCGCUUUCGCCUGUGACGAAGCGUGAGUGACGGUAACGGGUAAAGAAGCACCGGCUAACUACGUG
This 468-nucleotide ribosomal RNA is filed under the name uncultured bacterium. Its description in RNAcentral is "partial 16S ribosomal RNA". It matches the Rfam family "Bacterial small subunit ribosomal RNA", at positions 28 to 507 of the family's 1533-position model. The record is from RNAcentral.